CCUUAUUUAACAUUACAACUCUUCCAGGCAUAUAAUGAUAGGGUCUAUAGUAAACCUUAAUAAUCGAUUAUAGAAGACAUAAACAUUCUUUAGACCUUUUUUAACGGUCACUUUUUUAGUAGCCUUACUAGAUAAAUGACAGAGACCUUUUUGAGCUCCUUCAUGUUCAUUUGUUCAUCCUUUUCUCAUUUUGAUUCAACAAUAACAAUGUCUCCAAUUCUCAUUUGAAACACUCAUUAGCUUGUUCCAAAACUUUAAUAUAUUGCAUUAUUUCGGUGGUCGUCGGAAAAGCGAUAUCAAGUAUUGUACGAAAAUCAAGUAAGA
This 324-nucleotide long non-coding RNA is filed under the name Capsicum annuum. Its description in RNAcentral is "long non-coding RNA (CANN_LNC016312)". The record is from RNAcentral. Lineage: Eukaryota; Viridiplantae; Streptophyta; Magnoliopsida; Solanales; Solanaceae.